GGUGGCUCAGUGGUAGAGUGCUUGUCUUGCAUGCAUGAGGUCCUGGGUUCAAUUCCUCAGCACCA
This is a non-coding RNA of Dipodomys ordii (Ord's kangaroo rat), 65 nucleotides long. The record is from Rfam. NCBI's taxonomy places the organism in Eukaryota, Metazoa, Chordata, Mammalia, Rodentia, Heteromyidae.